Molecule: non-coding RNA, 225 nt
Organism: Paramuricea clavata
Lineage: Eukaryota; Metazoa; Cnidaria; Anthozoa; Malacalcyonacea; Plexauridae
Source: the annotation of a GenBank genome assembly
UUAGGCAAAAAAAAAAAUAUGUGGGUUUCCGGUUUCUUCUUAUAAAAACUUAGGUAGGGUAGGUCGGUUUUAACUUUUUUUUUUUUAACUUUUUUUUUAAUUUUCCGAACAAGCGGACGCCAUUUUGUUUAGUCAGUGCUUCCACAUCCAAAGAUAAAUUUCCCUAAUAUUGCCUCAAAUUUCAAUUUUCUACAAACUUUUUCCUCUAAGUGGAAACACUUACAA